AGGGCACCACCAGGAGUGGAGCCUGCGGCUUAAUUUGACUCAACACGGGGAAACUCACCCGGCCCGGACACUGGAAGGAUUGACAGAUUGAGAGCUCUUUCUUGAUUCAGUGGGUGGKGGUGCAUGGCCGUUCUUAGUUGGUGGAGUGAUUUGUCUGGUUAAUUCCGAUAACGAACGAGACUCUAGCCUACUAAAUAGAUCGUCGGCUUACAAACGCCGGCGAGACUUCUUAGAGGGACAGGCGGUGAUUCAACCGCACGAAACAGAGCAAUAACAGGUCUGUGAUGCCCUUAGAUGUCCGGGGCCGCACGCGCGCUACACUGAAGUGAUCAGCGUGCUUUUUCAACCUACUCUGUCAAGAGUGGGGAACCCAAUGAACCUUCUUCGUGAUUGGGAUAGGGGAUUGUAAUUGUUCCCCUUGAACGAGGAAUUCCCAGUAAGCGCGAGUCAUAAGCUCGCGUUGAUUACGUCCCUGCCCUUUGUACACACCGCCCGUCGCUACUACCGAUUGAAUGUUUU
RNAcentral lists this ribosomal RNA (519 nucleotides) under uncultured eukaryote. RNAcentral's name for it is "SSU rRNA". It matches the Rfam family "Eukaryotic small subunit ribosomal RNA", at positions 1172 to 1719 of the family's 1831-position model. The record is from RNAcentral.